GGCCCAUCAGCUAGUUGGUAGGGUAAAGGCCUACCAAGGCGAAGACGGGUAGGGGGUGUGAGAGCACGGCCCCCCACAAUGGGACUGAGACACGGCCCAUACUCCUACGGGAGGCAGCAGCAGGGAAUAUUGCACAAUGGACGGAAGUCUGAUGCAGCGACGCCGCGUGAGUGAAGAAGGCCUUCGGGUUGUAAAACUCUUUUGAGGGGGAAGAGCGAGGACGGUACCCCUGGAAUAAGCGUCGGCUAACUACGUGCCAGCAGCCGCGGUAAGACGUAGGACGCGAGCGUUAUCCGGAUUUACUGGGCGUAAAGCGUCUGUAGGCGGAUGUGUAAGUUGGGCGUGAAAGCUCCGGGCUUAACCCGGAGAGGCCGUUCAAUACUGCAUAACUUGAGGGUGUCAGAGGGGAGCGGAAUUCCCGGUGUAGCGGUAAAAUGCGCAGAGAUCGGGAGGAACACCAGUGGCGGAGGCGGUUCCCUGGGGCACACCUGACGCUGAGAGACGAAAGCUAGGGGAGCGAACAGGAUUAGAGACCCUGGUAGUCCUAGCCCUAAACGAUGAAUGCUAGGUGUGGGAUCGAAUGGUUCCGUGCCGGAGCGAACGCGAUAAGCAUUCCGCCUGGGGAGUACGGCCGCAAGGUUAAAACUCAAACGAAUUGACGGGGCCCCGCACAAGCAGCGGAGCGUGUGGUUUAAUUCGAUGCUACACGAAGAACCUUACCUGGGUUUGACAUGUAGGUGGUAGUGAAUCGAAAGGUGAACGACCCUUCGGGGAGCCUACACAGGUGCUGCAUGGCUGUCGUCAGCUCGUGCCGUGAGGUGUCGGGUUAAGUCCCGUAACGAGCGCAACCCUUGCUCCUAGUUACAAGUGUCUAGGGGGACUGCCGGCGGAAAGCCGGAGGAAGGUGGGGAUGACGUCAAGUCAGCAUGGCCCUUAUAUCCAGGGCUACACACACGCUACAAUGGUCGGUACAAAGGGCAGCGAAACCGCGAGGCGGAGCGAAUCCGAGAAAAGCCGAUCGUAGUUCGGAUAGCAGGCUGCAACCCGCCUGCUUGAAGCUGGAGUUGCUAGUAACCGCGCGUCAGCCAUAGCGCGGUGAUACGUUCCCGGGGCUUGUACACACCGCCCGUCACGUCAUGGGAGUCGGUAA
This 1150-nucleotide ribosomal RNA is filed under the name uncultured organism. RNAcentral's name for it is "bacterial SSU rRNA". It matches the Rfam family "Bacterial small subunit ribosomal RNA", at positions 235 to 1417 of the family's 1533-position model. The record is from RNAcentral.